This 524-nucleotide ribosomal RNA is filed under the name uncultured bacterium. RNAcentral's name for it is "bacterial SSU rRNA". It matches the Rfam family "Bacterial small subunit ribosomal RNA", at positions 355 to 874 of the family's 1533-position model. The record is from RNAcentral.
CAAGGGAUAUUGCGCAAUGGGCGAAAGCCUGACGCAGCAACUCCGCGUGGAGGACGAAGGCCUUCGGGUCGUAAACUCCUUUUCUGGAAGGAUAAGGUCUAGCCUAAGGGGUAGGCUUGAAGGUACUCCAGGAAGAAGAACCGGCUAACUACGUGCCAGCAGCCGCGGUAAAACGUAGGGUUCGAGCGUUAUCCGGAAUUACUGGGCGUAAAGGGCGUGUAGGCGGUGGGGGAAGUCGGACGUAAAAGCUCCUGGCCCAACUGGGAGAGGCCGUUCGAAACUCCGCCACUAGAGGCUAGUAGAGGCAAGUGGAAUUCCCGGUGUAGUGGUGAAAUGCGUAGAUAUCGGGAGGAAGACCAGAGGCGAAGGCGGCUUGCUGGGCUAGGCCUGACGCUGAGACGCGAAAGCCAGGGGGAGAGAACGGGAUUAGAAACCCCGGUAUUCCUGGCAGUAAACGAUGUCAACUAGGUGCGUGGGGUAACCAAUCCCUGCGUGCUGCCGCCAACGCAGUAAGUUGACCGCCU